UGGGGAAUAUUGGACAAUGGAGGAAACUCUGAUCCAGCAAUUCUGUGUGUGUGAAGAAGGUUUUAGGACUGUAAAACACUUUUAGUAGGGAAGAAAAAAAUGACGGUACCUACAGAAGAAGCAACGGCUAAAUACGUCCCAGCGGCCGCGGUAAUACGUAUGUUCCGAGCGUUAUCCGGAAUUAUUGGGCUUAAAGGGCAUCUAGGCGGUAAGACAAGUUGAAGGUGAAAACCUGUGGCUCAACCAUAGGCUUGCCUACAAAACUGUUGAACUAGAGUACUGGAAAGGUGGGUGGAACUACACGAGUAGAGGUGAAAUUCGUAGAUAUGUGUAGGAAUGCCGAUGAUGAAGAUAACUCACUGGACAGAAACUGACGCUGAAGUGCGAAAGCUAGGGGAGCAAACAGG
RNAcentral lists this ribosomal RNA (407 nucleotides) under Verrucomicrobiota bacterium. RNAcentral describes it as "Verrucomicrobia bacterium partial 16S ribosomal RNA". It matches the Rfam family "Bacterial small subunit ribosomal RNA", at positions 355 to 776 of the family's 1533-position model. The record is from RNAcentral. Lineage: Bacteria; Pseudomonadati; Verrucomicrobiota.